RNAcentral lists this ribosomal RNA (397 nucleotides) under uncultured bacterium. RNAcentral's name for it is "partial 16S ribosomal RNA". It matches the Rfam family "Bacterial small subunit ribosomal RNA", at positions 523 to 918 of the family's 1533-position model. The record is from RNAcentral.
AUACGUAGGGGGCGAGCGUUGUCCGGAAUGAUUGGGCGUAAAGGGCGCGUAGGCGGCCCGGUAAGUCUGGAGUGAAAGUCCUGUUUUUAAGAUGGGAAUUGCUUUGGAUACUGUCGGGCUUGAGUGCAGGAGAGGUAAGUGGAAUUCCCAGUGUAGCGGUGAAAUGCGUAGAGAUUGGGAGGAACACCAGUGGCGAAGGUGACUUACUGGACUGUAACGGACGCUGAGGCGCGAAAGUGUGGGGAGCAAACAGGAUUAGAUACCCUGGUAGUCCACACUGUAAACGAUGAAUGCUAGGUGUAGGGGGUAUCGACCCCUUCUGUGCCGCAGUCAACACAAUAAGCAUUCCGCCUGGGGAGUACGGCCGCAAGGUUGAAACUCAAAGGAAUUGACGGGG